CAGCAUCUACCAGCUGCUCCAACCAAACAGCAGACAAACACUGGAAGGACCAGGACAAUGUAACAUUGCUUCAGAUCAAAGCCAAGUGUGACCAGCUCAUUAUAAUAAACAGCAGGUAUGUUCCCAC
Molecule: long non-coding RNA, 127 nt
Organism: Stegostoma tigrinum
Lineage: Eukaryota; Metazoa; Chordata; Chondrichthyes; Orectolobiformes; Stegostomatidae
Exons: 2
Source: RefSeq, a predicted model, not a curated record